RNAcentral lists this ribosomal RNA (468 nucleotides) under uncultured bacterium. RNAcentral's name for it is "partial 16S ribosomal RNA". It matches the Rfam family "Bacterial small subunit ribosomal RNA", at positions 28 to 507 of the family's 1533-position model. The record is from RNAcentral.
GAUGAACGCUGGCGGCGUGCUUAACACAUGCAAGUCGAACGGAAAGGCCCAAGCUUGCUUGGGUACUCGAGUGGCGAACGGGUGAGUAACACGUGGGUGAUCUGCCCUGCACUUCGGGAUAAGCCUGGGAAACUGGGUCUAAUACCGGAUGGGACGAUGGUUUGGAUGCCAUUGUGGAAAGUUUUUUCGGUGUGGGAUGAGCUCGCGGCCUAUCAGCUUGUUGGUGGGGUAAUGGCCUACCAAGGCGUCGACGGGUAGCCGGCCUGAGAGGGUGUACGGCCACAUUGGGACUGAGAGACAGCCCAGACUCCUACGGGAGGCAGCAGUGGGGAAUAUUGCACAAUGGGCGCAAGCCUGAUGCAGCGACGCCGCGUGGGGGAUGACGGCCUUCGGGUUGUAAACUCCUUUCGCUAGGGACGAAGCGUUUUUGUGACGGUACCUGGAGAAGAAGCACCGGCUAACUACGUG